RNAcentral lists this ribosomal RNA (889 nucleotides) under uncultured archaeon. RNAcentral describes it as "bacterial SSU rRNA". It matches the Rfam family "Archaeal small subunit ribosomal RNA", at positions 23 to 909 of the family's 1478-position model. The record is from RNAcentral.
GUUACUGCUAUCGGAGUUCGAGUAAGCCAUGCGAGCCUAAAGGUUUCUUUCGGGAAGCCUUGGCGGACUGCUCAGUAACACGUAGAUAACCUACCCUUAGGACUGGGAUAACCCCGGGAAACUGGGGAUAAUACCGGAUAGAUCAAGGAUGCUGGAAUGCACCUUGAUCCAAAGCUCCGGCGCCUAAGGAUGGGUCUGCGGCCUAUCAGGUUGUAGUGGGUGUAACGUACCUACUAGCCGACGACGGGUACGGGUUGUGAGAGCAAGAGCCCGGAGAUGGAUUCUGAGACACGAAUCCAGGCCCUACGGGGUGCAGCAGGCGCGAAACCUUUACAAUGUGCGAAAGCAUGAUAAGGGGACUCCGAGUGCCAGCAUCUAAUGUUGGCUGUCCUUGUGCCUAAAAAGCACAAGAUAGCAAGGGCCGGGUAAGACCGGUGCCAGCCGCCGCGGUAACACCGGCGGCCCGAGUGGUAGCCGCUAUUAUUGGGUCUAAAGGGUCCGUAGCCGGUUCGGUAAGUCCUCUGGGAAAUCUGGUUGCUUAACAAUCAGACUGCCAAGGGAUACUGCUGAACUUGAGACCGGGAGAGGUAAGAGGUACUUCAGGGGUAGGAGUGAAAUCUUGUGAUCCCUGGGGGACCAUCUGUGGCGGAGGCGUCUUACCAGAACGGGUCUGACGGUGAGGGACGAAAGCUGGGGGCGCAAACCGGAUUAGAUACCCGGGUAGUCCCAGCCGUAAACGAUGCUCGCUAUGUGUCAGGUACGGUGCGACCGUAUCUGGUGCCGUAGGGAAGCCGUGAAGCGAGCCACCUGGGAAGUACGGUCGCAAGACUGAAACUUAAUGGAAUUGGCGGGGGAGCACUACAACGGGUGGAGCCUGCGGUUUAAUUGG